CGCAGCUAUCUGCAGUCGAGGGGCAGCGCAGUGUAGCAAUACAUGGGCGGCGACCGGCAAACGGGUGCGGAACACGUACGCAACCUUCCCAAAACUGGAGAAUAGCCUUUCGAAAGAGAGAUUAAUACUCCGUAACUUAAUGAAGUGGCAUCACUUUAUUAAUAUAGUUCCGACGGUUUUGGAUGGGCGUGCGGCUGAUUAGGUAGUUGGCGGGGUAAUAGCCCACCAAGCCUACGAUCAGUAACUGGUGUGAGAGCACGACCAGUCACACGGGCACUGAGACACGGGCCCGACUCCUACGGGAGGCAGCAGUAAGGAAUAUUGGUCAAUGGACGCAAGUCUGAACCAGCCAUGCCGCGUGGAGGAUGAAGGUCCUCUGGAUUGUAAACUUCUUUUAUCGGAGAAGAAACCCUAGCAUUCUUGCUGGGUUGACGGUACCCGAUGAAUAAGCACCGGCUAACUCCGUGCCAGCAGCCGCGGUAAUACGGAGGGUGCAAGCGUUAUCCGGAUUCACUGGGUUUAAAGGGUGCGUAGGUGGGUUGAUAAGUCAGUGGUGAAAUCUCCGGGCUUAACUCGGAAACUGCCGUUGAUACUAUCAGUCUUGAAUGUUGUGGAGGUAAGCGGAAUAUGUCAUGUAGCGGUGAAAUGCUUAGAUAUGACAUAGAACACCGAUAGCGAAGGCAGCUUGCUACACAAUUAUUGACACUGAGGCACGAAAGCGUGGGGAUCAAACAGGAUUAGAUACCCUGGUAGUCCACGCCCUAAACGAUGGAUACUCGACAUAUGCGAUACACAGUAUGUGUCUGAGCGAAAGCAUUAAGUAUCCCACCUGGGAAGUACGACCGCAAGG
This 850-nucleotide ribosomal RNA is filed under the name uncultured bacterium. RNAcentral describes it as "bacterial SSU rRNA". It matches the Rfam family "Bacterial small subunit ribosomal RNA", at positions 45 to 893 of the family's 1533-position model. The record is from RNAcentral.